RNAcentral lists this long non-coding RNA (4162 nucleotides) under Pomacea canaliculata. RNAcentral's name for it is "uncharacterized LOC112573372, transcript variant X2". Lineage: Eukaryota; Metazoa; Mollusca; Gastropoda; Architaenioglossa; Ampullariidae. The record is from RNAcentral.
GUUGACAAUGACCAUUGUUUACAGCGUCGAGGCACAGGCAAUGUCGACACGGCCUUGUCCUGCAAAGGACGAUGUGUCCAGCGUGGUGACCUGCUGUGGAUUUACCUCCACCUUCAUACUUUACCACCCGCAGCCACAAGUCCUGUAGACACUCUGCUGCUUGCCAUGCAACCGUCUAGUCUCACACCAUUUGCAGUGGAAGUGAUCACUGUGCAGACAUUUCAUUGUUUCUAGAGAUGAUGGUUGUCAUUGUGGGUGGUACAGAGACAGUUUCUUGGAGCAUCAGGUGACAGGCACAUGAUGUACACAAGUCCAGUCUGUCAUUGUCAUUAUUGGCAAAGUCUUGUGUUCACACCGACUGCCAUGUUUUCAUCUUUGUCUUUUCUUAAUAAACGUUUGCAUCUUUGAUCUUGUCCAGAAGAAUUCUUCGUAAAUCAGUUGUUGAUAAAUUGUACUUUAAAAAGUCAGUCUAUUCUCUAAAAUAAAUACACACAUCAUUUUUCCAGAGUGAAAUGCUGACUAAAAUAUGAACUGCUUACUUGCACAUUUCUUAGCAUCUCAAGAACUACACAACCAUUACAGACAUACAGGAGCAGUCAAGCAACCAAUGAACGCUGGCUCACAGUAACCUGCUACAACAUACAAACACCACGCGCACAUGAUGGACAAGUGUAAUAAAUAAAUAAACACCAUUCAACGAACACGUUAAGAAUCAAGUGUGAAACCUACAGUCAACUAACUAAACUAAAAAACAUUGAAAUCACUAUUCAUUAUUAAAUAAGAUAAAAGUGUCACGAUGUGUGAUACCGGGUAUCAAUGGGCAACGGUGAGUUUUGUGUAACCAGUAAAGUUUUCAGAGAGUAUUUAAACAUUUUGAUGACAUAAGGAAUCGAGUUCCACUCUUUUAAGUACACUUAGAACUUUAACUUACUUCCGUCUGAGAGUAAUGAGAGGUGCCUCCACUUCUACCUCCCUGCUGAAUGCCAAAGACAAUAGAAAGUGGAGUCCCAGACAUGUUUAAGAUGAUGUCGGUCCACUCUGCGCUGUGGUCCUCCUCCUGUACUGGACUAGAAGCAUCAUUUUCUGCUUGCACGACGAGGUCUUAACCCGAGGAUAACAAACUGCAAUCAGUAAUGAUCAGCAUCAGCCACUGAGAUACUUUGUGUUCAAAACUGAUUCCACGUAACCAAAUAAGUAUACAAUAAAUGUUUAUUAUAUAUUUGUUCAGUGGCUUACCAUGAAUUGUGUUGAAAAUACACCCCAUUGAGUCUUUAGUCUUUUGUUUAUAAGCAAAAACAAAUAGCUAGUCAACGUCUUCGCCCAGAGCAGUACAUCCACAAAUAACUGGACCAGUAAGUCCGGUAUUACAUGCUUAGUCCAGACUAGCAGACGACUGGCAGUGUCACCAGGCCCUGGUCACCCAUCAGUCUUAGUCACGAGUGGCAGCUGAACAGCGCUCACGAUGGAACUUUUUCUUUUAUUUUCUUAGAAAAUGAUAAAACUUGCUAAAAUCCUUUGCUGUUUUAGGGGGAUGGAGGUGGUAGUGGUGAAGGGAAAUAAUCCUUUUCGGUAGCAUUAGUGUCGACGAUGAAGUCCCUUGACAGGUCAUUUCAGCUUUCCGUUAGGUCGCCCAUUGUGCCGAUCUUUCUAGAAUUUUCACUUCUUCUCAUCUUCCGCAGCAGACAAAAGCCGCGCCGGUGUUCAGUGGCAAGAAACGGAGUGCAGGCAUAAUUGUUAUUUGCACAAAUCUCGCGUCCUUUCAGCGCCGCACGCGCGUGCACGACCAGUGGGGGUGAAGUAACGGGCUCCCCACACCCGCCACAGCAGCCAGGGUCACGGGCGGUACACCUGUGUCGACAGUCGGCGAUUCGCGUCCACUGGGCCUCACUCAGCGGCCAUUGCCGUCAGACGACUUUUCCACUUCUGACGCGAGUGUACCGCGGCCAUUGCUUUCUUGGGAGGGUCCGGCGGAGGUAAGCCGGUCCUGCGGGCUAAGAUCAAUGGAGUUGCUCGCCUUGGCCUCGCUCCACCAGUGCCGCGGCCUGCUUUUGUCACGUGAUUGAGUUAUUAGCCGAUCAACCAGAUGGCUCGCCGGAGAUAAAACGAUGGGAGAGGGUUUAGGGAAGUGAGGCAAAUGAGAAGACUAAACGAAUGAUCUUGAUUAUCUAGAGCUAACCCGUUUGGCCGGAAGACUGAAGACAUCUUGAUUUAUUUAUUUUGUUUGAAUAAUGAUGUAGUUUAACUGCGCUAUAUAAGCCACAUUCUUGUAUAAAUAAACUAAAUUAUUCGCCUACCCCUCAGAAAACAAGGGCUGGAGUAGGGUAGAUAGAGCCUCCGAAAUGUUAAUUAUUAUUUUAGAAUGCUCAUGUAAAAAAUAAACCCUGCUUCAAGACUUUGUCUAUAUGGUAUAUCUAGAACUUUUGAAAAGUUUAUUCGCCAAAAAACAAAAACAAACAAAAUAACAACAACAAAAAAAAACAACAACAAAACAAACCAAACAAACAAACAAAAACAAAUCAACACUCACAAGAACAGUACGUAUCUACGACUGAGAGAGAAUAUAGGAUAUUGAGGGGACACCAUCGUUAUGACUGAUGAAGUAUACCUUCAUCUUCAGCCCAGAGGUAAGUUUUUAGCGAUGGUUCACUGGCUAGAAAGUAACCGACAGGUAGACUAAAAUAUGCGAGCGGAGUGACGUACAGAUGUGCGCACAGACCACGUGACUGUACAGCAUGAAAUGGCUGACUACCUGCCUGUGGCCAUUCAUCGAAACUCGUUUUACGGGCGGAUAUGAAAGUGGCGGGCGCCGCACACACGGGUGGCUGUACGCCUGCUCAUUAGACACAUCCGGGUCCUUGCUGGUCUCCCUUGCCAGGACGUUUGCCCCGUGGCGGCGGCGAGGCCAAGGAUUAUCCCGGGUCGUAGACACCGGCCUAUGCAAAUUUCUGUCCACACCCCUUUCCCUCGGAGAAAAUUGACCUCAAAGGCGUCUCUUGCUUCUCUUGAAGUCUGCUUCCGGGCACGCAGGUGAUUGGCCAGUUUGUUAUCCGCGGCUGACACUGUCAUCGUAUUAAUGACUGGUUUCCUGUACCAAUGACAUUCUGCGUGGCAAGUUUCCUUUUUGGAUGCGGGUGUGAGUUGCUUGCCGUGACUGACGUGUCGAGGGUCGGUGGAGAGGGACAGGAAGGAUAAGUAGCGGUCCCGCCUGGAGAUCAUGAGGAUGUGCUUCCUCCUUCCUGCAGAGUGGAGACGCCUGACACACCGAGUCUCGACCCCAGUCUGACGAGUGUGGUGUUCACAGUUCACACCUGUACCAGGCUCGGUUGCUGACAAGGCUGACUGCAUCAAAUGGAGUAAUCAUCAGUUUUCUACCUGCGCCUACUGAGGAGGAGCUAAGCAAAAAUCAGUCAGGCUGUUUCUGGUGGCGCUGUCAUCCCCACACUGAAGACCGUUGUCCGGUGGUGUUAGAGUGGAAAUGGUCGUUGUGAACUCCACCUGCACAGUGAGUCCAGUGCAGGACGACUCAAACACUUGCCGAGGAAGACGCCGACAAACAGACUGGAGGAGGCGCAACCCGAGCCAGCCAACCCUCCUUGUCAGCCAUCGUAAAGACUCGGUCGUUAUUCGACUUUGUGAGAACCGACUCCUGGCUCCAUGGGAAGCGAGCGGCGAGCUGUGAGAUAGGCUUGUGGGGAGGACUGGCACCGCGGCCAUGUUAUCACCGGGAGGAUCGUGUAUAUCAAGUGCGAGCUGCGCAGUCACAGCCAACUCUUCAGUUUAACAUCGUUAGGGGUCGUGUCGCCUCAGAUGUUCUAGCGGCAGUGGAAAUGACAUGGAUGCAGGGUACAGUAGAGGGCUGACGUCGCCAUGUUCGCUGUCAACCGUUUGCCUACGUCCGCCUGUCUACCUCAAGCAUUGUGAUGUCAUCAGGAGUGCGGCGACAAAGACACGGUAAUAGUUGACGUCAUCGUGAACGUUGGAGCUGGGCAGACACGAUAAGACCAGACGUGCUUACAGAUGACGCGGCUACACAGUGCUCACUUAGGCUGUUAUAUAAACUGUGAACAUAGAGAACAGAUAUGUACAGAAAAUACUGACAAUGAUAUCGAGCAAGAACAAUACACAUCACGGUAUAUUAGAAAUAAAUUCAGAGCAAUGUUUA